GUGAGGAAUAUUGGACAAUGGACGCAAGCCUGAUCCAGCCAUGCCGCGUGCAGGAAGACGCAUCUAUGGUGUGUAAACUGCUUUUGUACGGGAAGAAACACUCCCUCGUGAGGGAGCUUGACGGUACCGUAAGAAUAAGGAUCGGCUAACUCCGUUCCAGCAGCCGCGGUAAUACGGAGGAUCCAAGCGUUAUCCGGAAUCAUUGGGUUUAAAGGGUCCGUAGGCGGUUUAAUAAGUCAGUGGUGAAAGCCCAUCGCUCAACGAUGGAACAGCCAUUGAUACUGUUAGACUUGAAUUACAAGGAAGUAACUAGAAGAUGUAGUGUAGCGGUGAAAUGCUUAGAUAUUACAUGGAAUACCAAUUGCGAAGGCAGGUUACUACUUGUGGAUUGACGCUGAUGGACGAAAGCGUGGGGAGCGAACAGGAUUAGAAACCCGUGUAGUCC
RNAcentral lists this ribosomal RNA (445 nucleotides) under uncultured bacterium. Its description in RNAcentral is "partial 16S ribosomal RNA". It matches the Rfam family "Bacterial small subunit ribosomal RNA", at positions 354 to 796 of the family's 1533-position model. The record is from RNAcentral.